This 485-nucleotide ribosomal RNA is filed under the name uncultured bacterium. RNAcentral describes it as "bacterial SSU rRNA". It matches the Rfam family "Bacterial small subunit ribosomal RNA", at positions 30 to 507 of the family's 1533-position model. The record is from RNAcentral.
AUUGAACGCUGGCGGCAUGCUUUACACAUGCAAGUCGAACGGCAGCGCGGGGGCAACCCUGGCGGCGAGUGGCGAACGGGUGAGUAAUGUAUCGGAACGUAUCCUGUAAUGGGGGAUAACCAGUCGAAAGAUUGGGUAAUACCGCAUACGCACGAGAGUGGAAGGUAGGGGAUCGCAAGACCUUACGUUAUAGGAGCGGCCGAUAUCUGAUUAGCUAGUUGGUGGGGUAAAGGCCUACCAAGGCGACGAUCAGUAGCUGGUCUGAGAGGACGACCAGCCACACUGGGACUGAGACACGGCCCAGACUCCUACGGGAGGCAGCAGUGGGGAAUUUUGGACAAUGGGCGAAAGCCUGAUCCAGCCAUGCCGCGUGCAGGAAGAAGGCCUUCGGGUUGUAAACUGCUUUAGUCUAGGAAAAAGGGGUGCGAGGUUAAUACCCUCGUGCUUUGAUGGUACUGGAAGAAUAAGCACCGGCUAACUACGUG